AAGAUGCUCAGCAAAAGAAGGGAAGCUUGAGAUUUGAGAGAAAAGGGAAGGUUUGUAGUAUCAAACUUCCAUCCUCACCCCCCUACUGAAACUUGCCUGUAAAGCUACUUUUUAAAAAGCCUUGAAAAGAAGAGGAGGGAAAAGCCCUGAAAGAAGCUUUCAUGUCUGCCAAAAUGGACUGUUCAUCUCAGCCUCCUGGACCAUUCAUAUCAAUCAGGAAGUUUGAUGGUCCACUCUUUCAGCAGGUGAAUUUGUCUAUGAAGAUAAGGAAUCAUUACCUGAACUCCACCUAAUUUCUGCUAGAGGGCAGGUUCUACAAACGAACCUAUGGAUGUGUUCUACCCACCUGCACUGAAGCUGCAGUUUAGAUUUACUGGGGAAGGUGAGAAUGGAUGAAAAUGAAGAAGAUUACAUAUGCUGGAUGCAGUUGACUGAGAGUAGGAAAAUAGACAAAGGAACUGUUAACAGAAUCAUUGAUAUCCAACCCUGGAAAUGAUGGCAGUGGUGGUCCAGUGGGAAGAAACAACACUAACAGAUUUUGUAUUUGGAAAUAGG
Long non-coding RNA from Homo sapiens (human), 555 nucleotides. NCBI's taxonomy places the organism in Eukaryota, Metazoa, Chordata, Mammalia, Primates, Hominidae. The record is from Ensembl.